UCAACACUCGAACGAUUGCUACUUGGAACCUCAUAGCCAACAGGAAAGCAGUCCUCUUCGUCCCCAAACCAAUCCUAGCCUCGCUCCAUUCUCUACAUUAGAUCAUCUCAAACUAAAAAGCCGUCACACCCUGCUCAUCAGAAAUUCAAAGCUGUUGAUGGGAAGAUCAUUCUGAUAGCUGAAGAUGCUGAGAAGAAGAAGAGUAACCACGCAGAGUCAAUCUCAGAAUCUAGGUUUUCAUUGUUGAUGGUGGCAAAACUUGACGGGCAAGAUAAUUCUGCAGUUACAGGGCUUUCUCUUGUGGAUUUGAUAAUCUCUUCUCAGGUAACAAUGAUGGGUUCU
RNAcentral lists this long non-coding RNA (342 nucleotides) under Linum usitatissimum (flax). RNAcentral's name for it is "long non-coding RNA (LUSI_LNC003969)". Lineage: Eukaryota; Viridiplantae; Streptophyta; Magnoliopsida; Malpighiales; Linaceae. The record is from RNAcentral.